AGUUCGGGAUUCGUUGCGAUCAUCCGCUCGGGGUCUCCUCUCGGAGAUGUCGUCGGAUCGGUCGUCGUGUCUCGAUUUGCGAUGGGACGACGCAUGAGUGGCAAUCGAGAUAUUUUCCUCGCAGGCUCCAUGCUUUUAGCAUCCAACUGCGUUGGCUUAUCUUCUUCAUUAGCGGCUCUCGUUAUUGGUUAUAGCGUGGGUUGUGUUCGCUCGUUUGGGUUGCCGCGUGUUAUAUCGGACUCGACAUUAGGAUGGACUGCUGUCCCGGGUCAUUUUGUGAAUCCUUCCCCGCUUCGUGCGGUGUUGCUGGGGAUUGUGUUUGUGUCGGCAAUCGUCAUACGUGUGGUGCAAUCUCUCGUGAUGGCUUGCCGAUGCAAUCGGCUUUCUCGGUUGCGGAGAACUUCUCGUCGUCGCAUCGGUCAUCGGCCUUUGUGAGCGUAACGUUAGUAGGCAUUGUCGCUCUUGUUUUACGACCCUCGUUUUCUUCCGAGAGCACACGGAGCAUUUGACGUUCCGUGUCGUGACGGGAGAGCAAUCGAGGUCGAAGACGGAAUCUACCUGGUUGAU
RNAcentral lists this unclassified non-coding RNA (567 nucleotides) under Sonerila helferi. RNAcentral describes it as "partial contains external transcribed spacer and small subunit ribosomal RNA". The record is from RNAcentral. Lineage: Eukaryota; Viridiplantae; Streptophyta; Magnoliopsida; Myrtales; Melastomataceae.